Long non-coding RNA from Dreissena polymorpha, 342 nucleotides. RefSeq lists it as uncharacterized. The record is from RefSeq and is a predicted model, not a curated record. The transcript is spliced from 2 exons. Lineage: Eukaryota; Metazoa; Mollusca; Bivalvia; Myida; Dreissenidae.
UCAAUUUCAAAGCAAAGAAAAUCCAAUUUCAUCCAAGACAAUAAACAAAUUAGUACAAAUGAGAGAUCAAAGAUACUUUGAAGAGAAGAAAUCAAUAAGCUUCCAAUAACUUGUUGUUUAGCACCAAUAAAAGUGUGAAAUCUUGAAACGCGCCUUGUCGCUCGGAGCCCAUUUAUUUGCCAGAGGCCAAUGAUAUAUCCUAGCAUAUAAUGUCAUGGGUGCCUUUAAACUGCAGCAGAUGGUCAAUAUGCAUUGCCAGCUCUCAUUUAGAGGUUCAAGAGAAUACAAAAUUUCAUAUUUUGGGCACAAAAUAAGUACUUUUGACUAUUUUUAUGGUGGCAA